Molecule: long non-coding RNA, 288 nt
Filed under: Gossypium barbadense (sea-island cotton)
Lineage: Eukaryota; Viridiplantae; Streptophyta; Magnoliopsida; Malvales; Malvaceae
Description: long non-coding RNA (GBAR_LNC004454)
Source: RNAcentral
UUUUUUUAAGCUUAAUUAUGAUAUAAUGAUAAAUUUAAUUUUUAUUUUUUUGUCAUUUUUAUUAUUUUUAUUAUAACUUUAGCUCUUUGAGUCUUCAAGUUUUAAGUAAAUUAUUAUUUUUUUUAACUGAUCGAAUUAUUGAAUUUUCAAUAGCAUUGUUUGUGACAAUUGGGAUGUCAAUUUUUAUGUACUUCAUUACCUACGUGGAUAUUUUUCUUUGGCAUUUUAUGAACUUAGUUGAAAGUUUUUGAAUUUUUCAUUUUUUAUAAAGUACAUACUGGUUAUCAC